GGUUAAGCGACUAAGCGUACACGGUGGAUGCCCUGGCAGUCAGAGGCGAUGAAGGACGUGCUAAUCUGCGAUAAGCGUCGGUAAGGUGAUAUGAACCGUUAUAACCGGCGAUUUCCGAAUGGGGAAACCCAGUGUGUUUCGACACACUAUCAUUAACUGAAUCCAUAGGUUAAUGAGGCGAACCGGGGGAACUGAAACAUCUAAGUACCCCGAGGAAAAGAAAUCAACCGAGAUUCCCCCAGUAGCGGCGAGCGAACGGGGAGCAGCCCAGAGCCUGAAUCAGUGUGUGUGUUAGUGGAAGCGUCUGGAAAGGCGCGCGAUACAGGGUGACAGCCCCGUACACAAAAAUGCACAUAUUGUGAGCUCGAUGAGUAGGGCGGGACACGUGGUAUCCUGUCUGAAUAUGGGGGGACCAUCCUCCAAGGCUAAAUACUCCUGACUGACCGAUAGUGAACCAGUACCGUGAGGGAAAGGCGAAAAGAACCCCGGCGAGGGGAGUGAAAAAGAACCUGAAACCGU
RNAcentral lists this ribosomal RNA (519 nucleotides) under Escherichia coli. RNAcentral describes it as "partial 23S ribosomal RNA". It matches the Rfam family "Bacterial large subunit ribosomal RNA", at positions 1 to 559 of the family's 2925-position model. The record is from RNAcentral. Lineage: Bacteria; Pseudomonadati; Pseudomonadota; Gammaproteobacteria; Enterobacterales; Enterobacteriaceae.